CUUUGGCGUUCUGGACAUCUCUACACCAUAGUUGAGUUCACAGUGGAUGAGAGGGGGAAUAAUUUGAACAAGUGUCCUUCUCCUCUAAAUUUAUGGAGGUCAGGAAAAAAAGUGGCAUUUUCAAGUGCUGAAAGAAAAGAGCUGUCAACCUAGAUGAAAGGAAAGUAAGAGAAUCUAUCACCAACAGAUCUAUCUUAAAAGAAUGGCUUAAAGGAAAUUCUCUAAGCAAAAGGAAAUAAUAAAAGAAGCUUGAAGCAUCAGAAAGUA
Long non-coding RNA from Mustela erminea (ermine), 267 nucleotides. RefSeq lists it as uncharacterized. The transcript is spliced from 2 exons. The record is from RefSeq and is a predicted model, not a curated record. Lineage: Eukaryota; Metazoa; Chordata; Mammalia; Carnivora; Mustelidae.